Non-coding RNA from Larimichthys crocea (large yellow croaker), 119 nucleotides. Lineage: Eukaryota; Metazoa; Chordata; Actinopteri; Sciaenidae. The record is from Rfam.
UCUUACAGCCAUACGACCCUGAAUGCGCCCGAUCUCGUCUGAUCUCGGAAGCUAAGCAGGGUCAGGCCAGGUUAGUACUUUGAUGGGACACCGCCUGGGAAUACCAGGUGCUGUAAGCU